This 305-nucleotide ribosomal RNA is filed under the name uncultured bacterium. Its description in RNAcentral is "bacterial SSU rRNA". It matches the Rfam family "Bacterial small subunit ribosomal RNA", at positions 333 to 655 of the family's 1533-position model. The record is from RNAcentral.
GGAUCCCUACGGGGGGCAGCAGUGGGGAAUAUUGCACAAUGGGGGGAACCCUGGUGCAGCGACGCCGCGUGGGUGAAGGAGUAUUUCGGUAUGUAAAGCCCUAUCAGCAGGGAAGAACAAUGACGGUACCUGACUAAGAAGCACCGGCUAAAUACGUGCCAGCAGCCGCGGUAAUACGGAGGAUCCGAGCGUUAUCCGGAUUUAUUGGGUUUAAAGGGUGCGCAGGCGGAGGCACAAGUCAGCGGUAAAAUCGCGGGGCUCAACCCCGCUCCGCCGUUGAAACUGUGUCCCUUGAGUGCGCGAAG